CAAGGCCCAUGUCGGUUGCGACUUGCGAGCUCUUCUGAGGAGCUCGGUUCAGUCACGCGAUGGCCAACACACGUGAACGGGGGAAUUUCCUGAGCGGGACAGGCGGACGUCGAUGCCUGACGUCCUGCCUCGGCAAUCCCCAUAACAGAAAGGUGCCCUGUGCUUUUCACUUUCCGACCUGAAUGAACAGCAGGAAUCAAAAGGCAAAGUGGUAACCAAAAGCGGAAUCCCUCAAGGCAGAAUGCUGUAUCUCAUUCACUGUCCUCCAAGACCACCCACGUCGUUCCUCCCAACCUUAACUUUGUGAGAAGAAUCAGCCGCAGCAGCAGAAGGGUCUGACCGCCAUGGCCUUGCUCUGCGGCACUCCGGCGCCAUGCUGUACUCCUAAGCUUGGGGGAUUCACUUGGGUGUUUCGUCGAAGACCCAGUUCCAGCAUCUCGCUCUUCACGGCUGCCUUUUCUAAAGGUUCUUCAAGGAGUGGCAGAAGUUUGAGGGUUACCAGAGCAGGUAAGAGCAAUGCAGAUCUUUGUAAGGAGCUGAAAGAAUUCCUUUUGUCAGUUGGUCUUCCUCCAAAUCGUGUGCCAUCAAUGAAGGAGCUUUCUCAGCAUGGAAGGCAAGAUCUUGCCAAUAUUGUAAGGCGAAGGGGGUACAAGUUGAUAGGUGAACUCCUCAGAGGUUCAGCAAACACUGAUAGCAAGACAGGCACAAGCACUACGGCUGAAAUUAAUUUCAUUAAUCAGCUUGAUCAGCAAAAUUCAGAAGGUCAGGAUGACAGGAGUUCUCCAUCAGAAGGUGAUCAUUUCUCUCAUCUCCAUGGUUCUAAUGAUGUAUUUCAUAGUAUUGAUGACAUCCACAAACAAGAAGAAUCUCCUCAUCCCAUAUCAUUGCAUGAAAAGGCAGCGAGGUUUGUUAUGACCGGAGAGCUGGAAUCAGCUGAAGUGGUGAUGUUAUUUGAUACAGGCACCGUGGAAUCUGACAAUAAAUUAUCCAUGGUCCAUGAUGGGGAAUAUGGACUGGAAAAUUCUGUUGCUGAAAUCAACCAACCAAUCACUUGGUUGAAUGGCUUGAAAGGAGCCACAAUCAGCAGUCCUAGUGAAGGAAGCUUGAGUGAUCAUUUUGUAGAAAGUUCAGAGUAUCCAGCGUUUAAUGAUGGGUCAACUUUUCCUCCUGGUCUCUACCCAUCCAGGCAAGAAAUUUCAACCAACAGCAAUUUUGCUGAUGCUAGUAGCUCAGUUGAAGAGGUAAAUAAGAGUGAUAAACAGCUUGAAAUUAAUGAAUUGAAAGCCAUGCUUCACCAGAAGGAGAUUGAAUUAUUAGAACUGAGGCAGCAGAUCGAGAAUGAAAAGGUUGCUUUAUCCAUUUUACAAGAAAAAGCUAAAAAUGAGGUUGACAAAGCAAUGAAGCUUAUUUCUGAAAAGGAUGCUCUCUUAAAUUCUGUUGAAGAGGAUCUGUUAGGUCUAAGAGAGGUUCGAGUUGAGUACCAUGGUGAUGCUGCAGUGGUUGAGGUAGCUGGAAGCUUCAAUGGUUGGCAUCAUCCAAUAAGAAUGGAGGCAGAUGCAACUUCAGGGAUCCAGAAUACAAGUGGAGCAAGGUUACCAAUGUCAUGGUCAACUAUUUUAUGGCUUUAUCCUGGAGUUUAUGAGAUAAAAUUUAUUGUUGAUGGCAUCUGGAAAGUAGAUUCUCAACAAGAGUGUGUGAAGCAUGAGAACAUAGAGAACAACAUUCUCAGAGUGGGCGAUUGAUAUGUUUGUGCACAAAUUUCAGCCUGUAUGGUUGGUGUAUGGGACAUAGUGCUGGAACUUCUGGAGAUUUAUGCCCAUUUUCAGCUCACCACCUGAAGUGGAUUCCCAAAAGACUUGAUCCAUGAGGGCACACAGGCCUCUUCAAUUGCCAUGAGGUGCAUGAACUUGGAACAGGGUCUCUUUUGGAAAGUUGCCUCAUGGUACUGGAAUGAGGCUGCAGGUGCAACGAGCCAGAUGCCUAUGAAACCCAUGGUUGAGGCCUGAAGCCCCUGGUUGAGACGUGACUUUCUCUGCUGUCUAACGCUUUCCUUGGAAGCUGAUGUUGGGGCAUCAACUAGGACAGAGGUGACAAACAGCAGUUUCGCACAACUGAGACGUCAAAGCCUGCAUGGCUUCGCGCCAACUGGUGUACAGAAAUUAAGGUUCUUUUGAACCGAUAAUAUAUAUUGUUCAUUAUCGUCUAUUUCUCAAGGUUGGAUUUCUCUGUCAAGUCAAAUAAAUAAACUCAGUUUUGAAUUUGUAUGUUCAUUUUUAAACUGUUAGUCGUAACUGAUAACCUGUAGAUGCCUUUUUGAAUGGCAAAUCCCAUCGAAAGCCUGAA
Nymphaea colorata (pocket water lily) is the source of this 2343-nucleotide RNA transcript. It is a transcript of the gene named protein PTST homolog 3, chloroplastic, with no coding region annotated. The record is from RefSeq and is a predicted model, not a curated record. The transcript is spliced from 14 exons. NCBI's taxonomy places the organism in Eukaryota, Viridiplantae, Streptophyta, Magnoliopsida, Nymphaeales, Nymphaeaceae.